This 65-nucleotide transfer RNA is filed under the name Tenebrionoidea sp. 20 KM-2017. RNAcentral's name for it is "tRNA-Met". The record is from RNAcentral. Lineage: Eukaryota; Metazoa; Arthropoda; Insecta; Coleoptera.
AAAAAGAUAAGCUAAAUAUAAGCUAAUAGGUUCAUACCCUAUUUAUGAAGUAAAUUCUCUUUUUA